UUUUCUCUCUUUUUCUUCGAAUUUUUUCUUUCUUCUUCAUCGUCAGUUUUUUUUUUUUUUUUUUUUUCUUCCUAAGUGAUUCUCACUCUCAGAGUUGAAGUAAACCUCUCGAACAGUCGAACUUACACCUACAUACAUAUAGUGGCCCCUGCAAUCAUGUGCUUUAUCUGGCCGACAAAAUUCUCUUCCUCUUCGUCAUCUUCUCCGUCGUCCCUCUCCCUCUCGUUUUCGCAGAGGUUCUCAGAUGGGCCGGCCUCGACAGCUACAAGACCCAGCCCAAAGUCUGAUUGCCCUUCUAUGAAAUGCUCAAGUGCUACAAGUAUGUUAUGGGCAUGUUCCUUCUUGUUGUUGGCCAUUUUCAGCUCGUCUCUUACUCUUCUAUCCAGAUAAUAGGGAUUCGAACAGGAUUGCCAUUGCCUUCUGGAUGGGAGAAGCUUUUCCAAUUGUUAGUUUAUUUCUUGGUAGAAGAUUUUACCAAUUACUGCAUUCACAGAUUUUUGCAUAGCAAAUUGGGGUAUGAGAAAAUCCAGAGAGUUCACCAUAAGUACACUGCUCCAUUUCGGUUUGCAGCACCAUAUGCUCCUGGCCACAUGGUCACCUUCUGGUAGUGGAGCAGAUUGAGGCCAUUGAAAACACGCAGCGGUGAUGACUUCCGCUGGCGGUGCUGAGUACCACGAUUACCAACGCUAUGUUGGAGGACAAAGCCAUAGCAAUUUUGCUUCAGUUUUCACCUGCUGUGAUUACAUUUAUGGAACUGACAUGGGAUACUGGUAUCAGAAGAAGAUCCUUGCGAAGGUAAACCUGCAAAACCUUUUCUCCUGAGAUUAUCAAUUAGUUGCUUCCAGGACUACUUUCACGCUUUCCCCAUAUUUUGCUUACGGCCUUAGGCAACCACCUCUGACCCCAACCAUGCAUCGUCUGUCAGUUAUAAAAUUGAAUUGGCAUGACAGAUCUUUUUAUCUUGGAUUUUGCAUUUGUUUCUCCCGUCUAACCAAUCUCGGUGAUCUAUAUCAGUUGAAAGAGGAAAGUUUUGGUUCCAAAACGGUCGUACAUAUAAUAAUUCUACUGUAGAUCUUAAAUCUGAUUAGCACGGAGACUGCGUAACCUUGCCUGCAGAAAUGCCCUUUCGGUAUUGUUCUCACUGGUGACAACUCUACAAAACCUCUGAUUUUCAAGUUGACAUCACCAUGCUAGGGUGGUAAAGUAGAAGCUUUUAGUGGCUCAGGAGCAGAUUAACUUUGGGUUUUUCAGAGUUGUGAUUUUGGGUAGCUUGAGAGGGGGUUCAAAGUCAGUUAGAUUGUAAGGUUCAGAGUCCAGACUUGUGUUUUUGGCAGUAUGUUCAAAUUAUAAUAUUAUGAACUCGUGCAGUGUUUGUGAU
This is an RNA transcript of Prunus avium (sweet cherry), 1378 nucleotides long. RefSeq lists it as uncharacterized. The record is from RefSeq and is a predicted model, not a curated record. NCBI's taxonomy places the organism in Eukaryota, Viridiplantae, Streptophyta, Magnoliopsida, Rosales, Rosaceae.